AAGGAAGGGAAAGGAACUUUUUUUUUUUUUUUUAAAUUUUGAAAAAAAGAAGAAAAAAAAAGAAA
Molecule: non-coding RNA, 65 nt
Filed under: Picochlorum sp. RCC944
Lineage: Eukaryota; Viridiplantae; Chlorophyta; Trebouxiophyceae
Source: RNAcentral